Molecule: ribosomal RNA, 253 nt
Filed under: uncultured bacterium
Lineage: Bacteria
Description: partial 16S ribosomal RNA
Rfam family: Bacterial small subunit ribosomal RNA
Source: RNAcentral
UACGGGGGGUGCGAGCGUUGUCCGGAAUCACUGGGCGUAAAGGGCGCGUAGGUGGCGUGAUAAGGGUGUGGUGAAAGCCCGGGGCUCAACCCCGGGUCUGCCAUGCCGACUGUCAGGCUAGAGUACUGUAGGGGCAGGCGGAAUUCCGGGUGUAACGGUGGAAUGCGUAGAGAUCCGGAGGAAGACCGGUGGCGAAGGCGGCCUGCUGGGCAGUUACUGACACUGAGGCGCGACAGCGUGGGGAGCAAACAGG